CUGCAUGCCAGUAGACCUUAUCUGGCUCUUCUAAUAGCCAGACGAGGGGGAUGGUGUAUGCUACAAAAACCUGGAGUUGCUGUAGGCUGUUUUCAGCUGUGAUGUGGCUGGUAGAACUGCAAUACUCCAACAAAU
This 135-nucleotide small nucleolar RNA is filed under the name Tauraco erythrolophus (red-crested turaco). RNAcentral describes it as "Small nucleolar RNA SNORA58". It matches the Rfam family "Small nucleolar RNA SNORA58". Rfam says of the family: ACA52 is a member of the H/ACA class of snoRNA that guide the sites of modification of uridines to pseudouridines. Lineage: Eukaryota; Metazoa; Chordata; Aves; Musophagiformes; Musophagidae. The record is from Rfam by way of RNAcentral.